RNAcentral lists this transfer RNA (73 nucleotides) under Dictyocaulus viviparus (bovine lungworm). It matches the Rfam family "tRNA". From Rfam's summary of the family: Transfer RNA (tRNA) molecules are approximately 80 nucleotides in length. Their secondary structure includes four short double-helical elements and three loops (D, anti-codon, and T loops). Further hydrogen bonds mediate the characteristic L-shaped molecular structure. tRNAs have two regions of fundamental functional importance: the anti-codon, which is responsible for specific mRNA codon recognition, and the 3' end, to which the tRNAs corresponding amino acid is attached (by aminoacyl-tRNA synthetases). tRNAs cope with the degeneracy of the genetic code in two manners: having more than one tRNA (with a specific anti-codon) for a particular amino acid; and 'wobble' base-pairing, i.e. permitting non-standard base-pairing at the 3rd anti-codon position. The record is from Rfam by way of RNAcentral. Lineage: Eukaryota; Metazoa; Nematoda; Chromadorea; Rhabditida; Metastrongylidae.
GCCUCGGUAGUGUAGUGGAUCAGCACGGCAGACCGGAUAUUUGUAAGUGCGGGCUCGAGUCCCGCCUGAGGUU